RNAcentral lists this long non-coding RNA (1321 nucleotides) under Phaseolus vulgaris (common bean). RNAcentral's name for it is "long non-coding RNA (PVUL_LNC005257)". The record is from RNAcentral. Lineage: Eukaryota; Viridiplantae; Streptophyta; Magnoliopsida; Fabales; Fabaceae.
UUUUAAGCUGCAAUCACAUUGGCUACUUGGAAGUGAUAAAUAACUCAAACAUGGAUAAAUAUAAGGUUACUAUUUCUAAAUUUUGAAACAUUUUAAAAUUCAUAUCAUGAACAAUAUACAGUACUACAGCACAAAGGUCUAAAAGAAAAGCCUGACAUGAUUUCAGUGUCCAUCUUUAUACACAGAAAUUUAUGUUCAUUGGAAUCCAGAAUGUGGCAUCACUUGAAUCUUUCCUUCAAAAUUGGCAGAUAAGCUGUCCUACAAUUGGUCCCAAAAUGUAAUCACCCGGGAGGGCAGCUUGUGUUGCAAGUGCUAUCAAUUAUCAAUUAUUCAUUGGGACUAAAAAUCGAAUUGCUGUGCAUGGAUUAGUCCUCUCUUGACCAAGGAGUUGUCUCGUGACUUUCACUUGUAACUUUUUGAUGUAGUGAUAAACGCUUGAUCUAAUAUCAAUUUGAUUCAAGAUCACAAGUUCCGUAUAAUUGUUCAGGAAAAGAUUGUUGCAAGUUACAUAAUCGAGUCACGAUCGAAGAGUUUGAUUUUUACUAAUAAAUACUUGAUCCAAGAGGAUGGUUGGUUGAGAAUUCUUUCUUCCCCCACUUGUCAGAAACCUAAAGAUCUUGCCAAUGAGUUAACACAGUGGAAGCAAUUAUUAACCUUAAAAAAAACAGACAUAAAAACAAUCACAACCAGACAACUGUGAAUGUAUGGAACUUGACAAUUGUGCAUGAGAUACCACAUUAGCAGUAAUAGGAGUGGAUCCAAAAGAGCUGAUGCAAAGUUUAAAAAACAUUGCAUCAAUCAGAGCAUUCUCCAGCUAUAGAGCCAAUCAGAUUGCUUAGUAGAUCACACACAUGAUUAAAACCCUUUUUAAUAGUAAAUACAUAAAUAAAAGAAGAGGGAACAAGAAAGAGAGAGAGCCAGGGAAGAGGCAGUGCAUGAGCGUAGCCACAACAGAUAUCUCUCUCCUCUCAUUCUCACUUCACCAUUUCUGUCAAUAGCUACAUUCUUGCUCUGCCUUUUCCCAGCCUUUGUCCUGUCUCUUCUCUUUGACCCCUCAAACUUUGGAUAGACUAACUUACCUCUAUCCUCAUCAACAUCAUUGACCACCCUCUAAAAACUGGAUUUGCAUAUUACUUUUGCAUACAUUUCAUACAACCCAUCUCUAUAUAUAAUACUGGUAAUUAUAAUUAUAAAAAGUGUACCAGAGAGAGAGAGGAAUGAAUGGUUUGUAGUACAAGCAUGUACUAACAAAUUUCAGUCCAACGUUGGCCUGUACUACUUCAUGAUAUUGGUAGUACACUAAUGCUAAUUCCAUUUCAAA